This is an RNA transcript of Carassius auratus (goldfish), 2506 nucleotides long. RefSeq lists it as uncharacterized. NCBI's taxonomy places the organism in Eukaryota, Metazoa, Chordata, Actinopteri, Cypriniformes, Cyprinidae. The record is from RefSeq and is a predicted model, not a curated record. The transcript is spliced from 5 exons.
AGAGAGUUAACGCUCCUGUUGAACCGGAUGUGAUUCCUUCUCCGUCUCGGUGUUGUCGUUGCACGGCCAAUGGCGGAUGGAGCCUGAGCAUUUGUUCUGGAAAACGUACGUUUUGCACAAAUAUACUCGAGUAUCGAUCGGCAGGUCAAAGCUUUCAGAUCGCACGUGUGUCUUUGGCCCUGACCAGAUCUGCGCCCGUCAGCAUGGAUGUGAAUCUGACCAUCUCUCUGAUGCGGGGCCAGAUGGGCGCUGUUAUUGAGAAAGCCGUUAACGUCGCGGUGGAGACCGUGUUAGGAGAGAUGAUCCGGGUGGUCGGGCUCAAGUUCGAGGAGAUAAAACGUGACAUGACCGCUAAAGAGAAGGAGAACGAGAACAUCAGGAGGAUGUUGGAGGCGUCCCGCUGUCAGAUGAAAACCAUGCGCAAGUACAUCAGCGUCCUGUCUGCUAAAGACCCUAACCACAGACUGUAUCAGGGAGAGGGAGACAUGGCUACAACAUCCACAGGGGUGCACUGCAGAAGAAGACCGACGAGCACUGUGCCGGUGUGUGCCAAAACCCCAGACCCCUGUCCCAGACCUAGAGUCUCUGAGCCCGCCCCCGUGGCUGGACCCUCAUGGGUGAGACAGCAGAUGCACAUUUCCAAAGAAACAGUAAGAAGUGAGAAUCACAAUGCUGAUGUCCAUAUUGAAGAUAUCCAUGGAUCAUCAGUUCAUAAAGUUAAGAUCUCAAGCCCUCGUCUGGUGGACAGUCAGGCGCUUCUGUCUGAGAUUAGUGAUCCAGUAUGGGGUCAAAACCCUCUGGCCUCUGCAGAGACUGGGCACACAGACAUGCCGGACAGCAGCGUCCUCUCUGCACCCAUGAUGGCAGAUGAAAGUGUGUCAUCCCAAACUACAAGCACAGUGGCAUUUGGAGCACCUUCACUUAAAAUCAAACGGGAGGAAGCGGAAGUUGAAAUAGUCUGUGUGAAGGAUGAACACGCAGAAGCUGGCAGCAUCCCUAGAUUAGAAUAUUCUGACCCAGAACUUCACCAGGAAGUGGGAGAACCAGACCUCGGGGUCUCACUAGAUCUACCCGCUUCAUUUCAAGCUCUUCAGAGUCCAGGCACUGCAGCUGACAUUGCAAUCCCAGAAUUCAUGAGUGUGGACCCAACUACCUACACAGUAAUGGCAAAAACAGCUGCUGAAAAACAGAGAGAGUACAGGGCGAGAAGGGAUGCUGACCCGGCACGCAGGGAAAAGUACCUCAGGAAUGAGCGAGAGAGGUGGAGAAGAGAUGUUGAGACAGGGAAAAAGAAGAGAAUUGGUGACCUGUGUGAGAAGGCACAGAGAUGGAGGCGCAAGCAGUGGAGAGAUUCCAAAGAACGACAGAAGAGGAGGUUUUUCAAAAUAAUUGCUUCCUCUCCAGACAAUCCUGAACCCAGUCUGAUGGUGUUGCUUCAACCCUGAAGAGGAUGACAGACGACUGAUAAGUCAGGGUCAGGUCAUCCCAGGUGGAUGGAAACUCAUCAGGGCCCUUGUCGAGGCCAGAAUAGCCUUAAAAGUGGGUUGGUUGACAAAGCACUUGAGAAGCACUUGAGUCCAACAACAACGAGGCACCGCUAGAUGACUUGUGACCAAGUCAAUGAGCUGAACAAUAUUUGGCUGAGUGCAACAUUUUGUUUCUGAUGGACCUUAACCUUGUGGCAUCUUGAAAUAUUUCAAUUCACAGAUUUGUGGGCCAUGCAAAAUGAAUUUUACUCUUUGUAUUAAACUAUUAGUUUGUACUAUGACUUGUUAAAUGGACGAAUGGAUGGAUGAUUGAAUCAAUUAAUGGUAUACUUCACCAACAGUAGCCACUUGAACCCUGUUAUCAUUUUCAACCCUGUUGAAUUGCAUUCAACCCUGUUACUUUUUUCCCCAUCACUGUUUUUGUAAUAUUCUGUGUAUUUAGUGUACUGUAUCUGAGGUAAUCAGUAAAUUACAAUAAUUUAUACCUCGCUUUACUAAAUAUUUAUGUAUAAUUCUGAAUCACAUGUUUUUAAAAAAAAACAAAACUAAUAAAUAAUACUUUAUUUAUACCUGAGGUGGGAAAAUAUUCCUUAGAUCAGCAAAAACUUGUUCAUGAAAUGAGCAUUCAAACAAUCAUAAAAAAAAUAAAAGUUACAUCAUUAACUUUAUAUUUUUUGCAACAUGGCCUAGAUCACCGAACACUUUAACACAGUGAGAUUGAGGAUCCUUUCUAGUUAAUGUUCAUUUGAUUUUUGACAUAAAAUACACAUUAAAAAAAUUACUGUACUGAAGAAACAAACAACAUCCCCCCCCCCACCACAUGGCUGUUCAUGAUUUUUUACACAUCGCAAGUCAUUCCAUGAUGGGGAUCACAAGAGAAAUGCAUCAACAUGGACAGCUAUGUCAGAUGUGAGUCCAGGGAGUUUUGAAAAUAAUCAAUGUACAGCUGCAGAGAGGGCUAUUCUUGAGUCACAGGGAGAAAUGGACUGGAAAAUCAAUCACCUGACUGCACUGGUGCA